CUGCGGGGUGGGUGGUGAGACUGCGCCAGCGCCGCCAGGACCCCCAACAUAGAGCGCGGAGCUCGCUCUCCCCCACGCCAUCUGGGCCCUCUGCAAUCGCGGUGUCCCAGGCCCGCCCCGCCUCGUGCGCGGCCCUCCCUGGCUCUGUGCCCAGCACUGCCCAGGCAGCGGACAGAGGGGCGCAUGGGACAGCGGCCUGGGGCCGGGGAUUGCCGGGCACGCGGGGAUCCGGGACGCACGCGGCGGACCCGGAGGCGAGCUCUUCCCCCUCCCCCGCGGCCGGGAGCUCGAGCCGCCGUGACGUCACGGGCCACCCGCCAGCCCUGAGCUCCGCCGGGCAGAGCGCGUGCGGCCGCCGAGCACAUGGGCCCACGGGCCGGGCGGGCUGGGGGCGACCGGGAAGAGGAGGAGCAGUCAGGAGCCGCGAGCAAGGAUGGACACCCGUACCUCCCGGAGCCCCCCAGUGGAUUUUCACGCGGAAAGGAUGUUGGCCCGUCCUGGUGACCCGUGGGACAAGGCUGGAUCCACCCUCCAGCCUGAUCUUCGGACCAGAAGGAGGUUAAAAACAUGCCGCUCAACACAGCUGUGCUGCCAGUUGCAAGGAGCCUCAUUCUAGAUCGUUCCUGAGCCUGAUGGAUUUACAGUGAUGUCCAAAUCUCCUGGGGAAUAAGGAGACCACUGGUGGAAGCUCGCCCUGGAAUUACACACACCUGGCACAUUUUAGGAUGGUACAAGGGAUUUUAAGGAAGACCCUGGCGGAGGGCUCCGUGGUUUCUUCCAGCCUGGAUGCCUUCAGGGGAUGCACAGAGGACCUCAGCGGCCAGCUCCCUCUGGCUCCCUCUGAAACAAUCUGGCUACACCUGGGAUCUAAGUGCUUUUCAUCUGAGAAAAUGCAUCUCUAUUCAGCCCCUCGGGACUUCCCUGAAGGAAAGAUAGGAUAUUUGAGGUGGCCUGGGGAGCUUUUCAUUCCUGUGAUCUUGUAGAAGUCUCCUGAUGGUUCCCCACAGUGUGUCUGCAUCCCAGUCACAGCAUGGACUGUAGCCAGACCACCUGCAGAAUCCCGCUUUGGACAUCAAUGAGCAGAGCAGCGCUGGGUUGGACAAUGGGCACAAACAUGAUAUUCAGAGGAGAUGCUACUUGCUUUCAGAUGGUCGCUUCAAAGGAAAGCUAUGGAGAAGUCACUCUCUUUCUGCCUGUGUGAACAAGUGCGGUUUAGCAAGGCACUAGGAGACACUAUCCUCAACUUUAAUUGCAGCCGCCACUAACUAAAAGCCAGACAAAUCCACUGAAGGGAGAAACCAGAUCUUCUCUCUUCCUCCUUGCCCUGUGAAAUCUGCACAUCGUUGACAGAAGGUUGAUUUAAAAUUACACUAAUUGACAGUGAAAGACUUCAUAUAAUCCUGUUUAUAGGACCUCCAAUAAUGUUGAAAGAUCAAAUAAAAAUCCUACCCAGGCAAUUUUCCGAAGCCGUCAUAGACUGUAACAGAAAUGAUUUAGAUGAAUGAACUUCACACUUUCCACAAAAUGUGAAUUUGCAUUUUACACCAAGCCCAUCAGUCACCAGGCCUGCUCCAAAAGACCAAGUACCUGCAUAUUAUGGGGAAUCAUUGUAUUUACAUCCUUACCUAAAUGUGGUAAUAAGCUGUGCCUAAAACCCUGUCACAAUCACAUUGGGACCAGGAAUUCAUGACUCCAGACAUUCCCAGCCCUGCUAACUGACUGCUCAAUGAGCAACUUGAAAAGGCCCCUCAUUUGGAGAAAUUUUCAAAAGGGUGUGUCCUCUGUGCCAUCAAACCAAUCUCAGUUAUAACUUCCAGGCUGGAGGCACCAUGGUCUCCUUCCCUGAUCCUGGCUCCCUGCGGCUGCAAGGAAGCAAGGAGUUUGAUGGUUUUCCUCCAUGGCCACGUGCUCAGGGCCUCCUCAGGUGCUUGUCCUGCACCAGUGGUCUGCACGGAGAGCAAACACAAAGACACAGCUUUGCAAGCUUAUUUAAUCUAGAAUCUGACUUUCUUGCUGAAUUUGAGUUGAGGAGGAAAAAGUAGGGAACUGGCUGUUCCCUGUAAGAAAGAGGCAGGUUGACGUAGAAAGGCUCAGAAUCAGAGCUGGAGUAAGAAAAUCCAGGUGGAAAUGAAGACUGCCUCCCAGCCCUUUCUUCUGUGAAUGGAGAGAUCAGGAUGCUGGAACAGAGUGAGGGCGACUGUGGUGGAGGGUGGAGAGGGGCUCAACCCACGGACCCCAAGCACAUGAGACAGGUGAGAAUACUGGAUGGACGGCUGUUACGAAAGCUUUCAAGGCCUGCUGCUUCCCUGGGCUCGGAAGGUCUGCCUCGGAGUGUGCUCCAUCCUGGAGGCAAGGGGAACCCAAUGGCAUCAGGUAAGGGGCACCUUUUCUACCAAGCAUGAGGCUCUGGAGUGCCAGGAUAAACAGUGAUAGGAAGGAAAAGCCACACAGGAGCCAGUGAGGGAAGAAAGCAUGGGAGCCAGUGAGGUAGAUGGCAGAGGGCUUGAGCCAAGGUAGAGUAGGCGUCAUACCGAGGAUGGAAGAAGAGAAAGAUGGGGAGUGGGAGUCCAUGCGUGGAAUAACAGUGACCUCACAGUCUUAUGGGGCUAUCACGGGAAUAGCUGGUGGCAACCUGAGAGAUAAUACUAGAACAAUGUCUCGAGCUCAGUAAGUACUUAAGAAAUAAGAGCAUUUAUAAAAUGAGAAUUACCCUCACUUGCUGUUGUUUUUCCCUAAAGAAUUAAAAAAAAAAUUUUUUAAAAAGACAAUAGAUACAUAUCUGCAGCCAGAGUAUAUGGAACACAGUUAAAUUCUUGCCAGACACUUCAGGAUUAGAGGAUGCCUUUUAUCAGGGUUGAUGUUGGCUGUCAGUGCUCAGUACUAGAAAUGAGUUUUGAUUAUAAGAAUCCAUAGCUGGUAUAGAUUCUGAAUAACUAAAAAUGUGUCACUUAUGAUUGUUACUAUUCCAUGGAUGCUUUCUAUAUUAAUCAGAGUAAAGAUGAGCUGCUGCUAUAACAAACAAUCCUCUAAAUUAUAUUUUAACACAGGAAGGUUUUUCUCUUACAGAAUCCAGUGUGGAUAGUAUUGAUUGGUCAACUCUUUCCAAAUAGCAAUUCAAGGACAUAACCUCCUGUGACACUGGCAUCUACAAAGUGGCACCAUUGUCCAGAAGGAGUGGAAAUACAGUGUUUCACAAGCAACUACUGGCAUUGGGCACUGUGUAGUCAGCUUUUUGUUGUUGUGACAAUACUUCAACACUAACAAUUUAAAGGAAGAAGAAAAUAUUUUGGUUUAUAGUUUCAGAUUUUCAAUGUGUGUUCAGUUGGCUUCAUUGCUCUGGGCUUGAGGCACAGUGGGGGAAAGCUGCUCGGCUCAUGGCAGCUGCGAAGCAGAGAGGGGAAGGUUGGGGACAAGAAACACCCUUCCAGGGCACGUCUCCAGUGACCUGCUUUGUGCAACUUUGCCCUGCUGCCUGCAGUUUCCACCAUCUCCCAGGACUCCAUUCAGCUACCGAUGGGUUAAUCCACCAAGGAGGUCAGAGCUCUGAGGAUCCAAUCACUUCCCACAAGCUCCAGUUCUGAACAUUGUCACACUGAGGACCAAACCUUUAACACCCAAGUCUUAGGGGACAUUCCAGAUUCAUACCAAAGAGGCACAUUCUUCUGCCUACAUUCCAUUGACCAGAUUAGUCAUAUGGCCCAACCCAGGUGCAGAAGAGCUUGAAAACAGUUGCCCUCAAUAUCCACAAGGAAGUAAAAUAUCUGGUGAACACACAGGAACAUAAUUUAUGUGUGCAGACAUUGCAGGCAUUAUCUCAUUUAAAUCUGUGAGGUAGGGAUUAUUACUAUGUUCAAUUAUUUCCUUGGAGGAGACAGUAUCAAGGGUCAUAGAUCUAGUGAGUGUCAUUCAGAGAUUCCAUUAGAGGUUUGUAGGAUCAUAAGUCUUUUUGACUUACUAAUGAUCCAAAUGGUCAUGAAUCAUCUCUUUAUUCUGCCCCUGAGCAAGAAGGUAUGGCAUCAGGAAGGGGCUAGACAGAGUGGAGUCUGGUUACCUGGGGCAUCUGUUCCAACGCAGCUCAGUGAAUUUGGGAAGUUACUUCUCAACCUGCUGUGUCAAUUUUCCCUGGAGAAAGGAGAAACUGUUGAUUAUGAAGUUCCUUUCUAGCUUGAAAAUCCAUUUAGUUUUAUUGUUUUUACAUUUUUUUAAAGUUUGUCUAUCGGAGGAUUACCUCUGUGUCCUUUUGAAUGGUCCUUACAGAAGGUAGAGGAUAUUGGGGAAACGCUCUGUUGGAAUCAUAUCCACACGGAGUGCUCCGCACCUCCUCGGUUCCCUCAGCCUCUGUUCCCCUUGAAGAAUUUUCCAUCUGUUAGCAGACCCCACUGUCAAAGCAGCUGAUUCCUGCUGCUUUAGGAAAGCAUCCAGCAUGGCUUGCGUUCAACAGCCUCUUGUCUCUUUUCCGGAGCACCCUGGGAAUGUAACCUGCCAAAUCACUUUCACCCUAAACUCGGCAUGAAAUGCGCCCGUCUGGGCUUCGGAGCAGCUUAGCUAAUAAAGCAGGAGAUUGCUGAGGAAAAGCGGAUAUUUGUGCUGUUUGGGAAUUCCGUGUGCCAAGAGCCCGCCCCUCCUGGCUUCCCUGGGGGAGCUGAGGUUUUCAGGUCUAAUGUCAAGCCUGCAAGCAUGGCCCUCAGCCAGCUUCCUGAAAGGGGAUGAAAGUCCUCAUCAAAGUCCCCCCUUCCCUUCCCGUUUCUUUCUCUGUCUGAUUGAAGCAGAACUUGCCUUUUUUUUUUUUUCUCCUGCCAGAAACAGGAGGCUGUGUUCUGUUCACAGGAAUGAAGAACAGUGGCAAAAAACGAUGUUAAACAUGAUAAAAUGUUGCCAGGACAAGAUGGUGAUUUUUGUGACAUGGGAAAUCUGGGCCUGAGAUGGGUGAAAAAGUUUCAGGAUGCACUUUUUACCCUUUUUUUUUUUUUCUGAAUAAAUCAAGUGUUGCUGGUGCUAAGGGUGGAUGGGAGAUAAAAUAGAACCAGACAGAAAGAAAUGGUGGGUCACACUUUUUGCUAAAGCCCAGGGUGAUUUAACUCACUCAUUCUUUCACUUAUGCACUUACUCAUCCAUUCAUUUCCUUCCAAGUGUUUUUGUGGAGCACCUCUGCUGUAUCAGUCAUUUGUGGUUGGCAAUGGGACAAGAGUCCCCCAAUGCUCAAUUUCUAUUCUUGUCCCUCUUUACCCUUAAAUCUAGAUGCCCCCCCACACAUAAAUAUCAGAACAACCUUUCAAAACAUAAAUCAAAUAAAGUUACUUCCCCACCAAGAGCCUUUCGAUAACUAUGUCUUUGUUUUCCGUUGCUACAACAGAAAACCUGAGACUGAGUAACUCAUAAAGAAAAGAAGCACAUUUAGCUCACAGUUCUGGAAGCUGGGAAGUCCAAGAGAAUGGCACCAACACCUUCCUGGCCUCUGGUGAGGACUGCAGUGCAACAUGGCAGAACUGCCAAAGGUCCAGUGGAUGCAUGCAGAAGAGACAGAACACUAGGGACCCAUUUGCUUUAUAACGACUCACUCUGGAGGUAACUAAUCCAGUCCCACAAGAGUGAGGGUCACUGGCUUUCCUGAAUUAACUCAGUCCUGCAAGAGCGGCACGAGUCUCCUCAUUCGGGCAGAAUCCUCAUGAUUCAAAUUCCUCCUGCAGAUCCCACCACCUCUCACCACCAUUUCACUGGGAACUAAAUUUUAAAUUUUGGAGGGGAAAGACAAUAUCUAAACCAUAACAAACUUCUUAUUGCUUUUAGAAUAACCCAAACUCUGGACUACCUGUGACCUGCGGGCUCCCUCCUGUCUUGCCUGGCCCAUGUCUCUUCUGUACUCUGCUCAGCUGUUUCCAGCUGUUUCUUACCGUUCCCACCAUACUGGCCUCUGCCCAUUUUCUUGUCGACAUCAAGCUCUUUUCAUAGCAGGAAUUUCGUGCUUGCUUCUCUUGGCCUAGUCUAUUGUGGGACUGGAUCGAUCUCUCCCUUUAGGCCUCAGCUUAAAUUCGGCCUCCUCUGAGAGCACUUUUGGAUCACUUGUCUGAGUUGGUUGCCACGUCCCUUCGUCCACGACUCCAUCUCCAAUACGCUUUCCUUCCUAGGUGAUAUGGUGAUCUGUAAUAUUUUGCUUCCAGGGUCAUUGACUAUCUCCUUGUUAUGCUUUGGAUCUGGAGUGGGCCCCCAAAAGACCAUGUGUUGAAAACAUGAUCCCCAGUGCAGCAAGGUUCAGAGGCACGGAUUUUAGGCAGUGAUUGGAUCUACCUUACCAGUGCAUUAAUCCAUUGAUGGAUUAAUAAUUUGAUUGGAUUUACUGGGGCAUGGCUGGAGGAGAUGGGACACUGGGGACGUACACCUGUGGAUUAUGUCUUCCCUUCUAUCUGUCUCCAUCUCUCUGGCUCGCUCUCUUUCUUUCUCCCUCCCCCUUCCUGGCUAUAGUGAGCUGAGCAGAUUUCCUCCACCAUGAUGUUUCUGUCUUGGAACCUGCUGACCACAGACUGAACCUCUGAAACUGUGAGCCAAAAUAAACCUGCCCUUCUCUAAGAUGUUCUUGUCAGGUAUUUUGGUCACAGUGACACAAAGCUGCCCGACACCCUAGAGUGUAUGCUGUUUAGUUUUCCACUGAUGAAUAGGGUGACAAAGUAGGUCUAGAUAAAGCCUGUCCAUACUGCUGCCUGUCCGCUGGGAAGACAGAUGUGCUAGGUCAUGACCCAGAAGGAGGCAGGGUGCUAAGGCAGAAGUGCUUGGGUGGUCAGGAGGCUUCAUGAAUAAGGCGAAUUCUGACCUGGGACCUGAACAGGGUUCACAGAUGGGGGACAUGGAAUUGAUAAUGAAGGCAUCAUUUUGUGUGGGAGAGGUGGAUUGGCAAGCAGCCCUGGGCAGUGUUUGCAUGAUAGAAGGUGGAGAGGUUGUCAAUCACCCCAAGGCCUUGAGUCUAGUGAGAAAGCAUAUUCCUCCCUCUGCUGACGAUGAGCAAGAGAGUGGUGCUUCUGCAAAGAUGUCACCUACGUGGGCUCUUGAGGAGGAAGCAUCCAUUUACUACAGUGAAUUCCUGUUCUCAACAUCGUCCCCAAUUCUGUCCUUCAGGUGACCUCAAACCUGUCUAUGUGUGGCUCAGAUGUCUUCCAACGACUUGGAAGAAAAAAGACAAAAAAGAAACAACCUUGUUAUUUUAUCCCUUGAUAAUGGCAUUCAAAUAUGCCGUUUUGAAGAAGAAGGAAACUGUCAUCAAUAUUUGAUUAAGGGCUGCUUGAAGUGGCAGGAUGGUGGCAUGAGCCUGGGGAAAGCCAGGAGUUAGUCUGCUGCCCCAGAUGAAAGGCUGGUGUGAGCUGCAGCGUGAGCAGGGUCUUCGCGGCCUGGGACCUGCCCUUGUUCCUGGAGGAAGACUACAGCUGAGAGAAUAAAAUAGUGAACUGCAAAGUCAAA
Ictidomys tridecemlineatus (thirteen-lined ground squirrel) is the source of this 7446-nucleotide non-coding RNA. Lineage: Eukaryota; Metazoa; Chordata; Mammalia; Rodentia; Sciuridae. The record is from RefSeq and is a predicted model, not a curated record.